GUCCUCCUGGUGUAGUUGGUUAUCACAUCUGUCUAACACACAGAAGGUCUCCAAUUCGAAUCUGGUGGAAGACA
This 74-nucleotide transfer RNA is filed under the name Entomophthora muscae. Its description in RNAcentral is "tRNA-Val". It matches the Rfam family "tRNA". Rfam says of the family: Transfer RNA (tRNA) molecules are approximately 80 nucleotides in length. Their secondary structure includes four short double-helical elements and three loops (D, anti-codon, and T loops). Lineage: Eukaryota; Fungi; Entomophthoromycota; Entomophthoromycetes; Entomophthorales; Entomophthoraceae. The record is from RNAcentral.